This is a small nucleolar RNA of Ornithorhynchus anatinus (platypus), 138 nucleotides long. NCBI's taxonomy places the organism in Eukaryota, Metazoa, Chordata, Mammalia, Monotremata, Ornithorhynchidae. The record is from RefSeq and is a predicted model, not a curated record.
AUCCUCUCAGGGUCGCACCUGGAGAGUUUCCAGUACUCUACCAGUCUUGUCUAUGGGAGGGAGAGUCAAGCAGAGGUAUGCUGAGUCCAUUCCUAGCUUGGGCAAUGGCUAGUGAGUGGAAGGCAAACUGCUAUAAGU